UCUUUAUGUUUAAUUAUGAUUUAAUUUUUUUUGUUAUGUGUUUUAUUUAAGUUUUAAGGUUUACAUGUGUUAUGUUUUAUUUUUGCAUUUGUUAAGUUUUAUUUUGUUUAGUUAAAUGUUUACAUUGUUUAAUGUAUAAAUUGUUUAAACUAUGUUUAUUUUUCUAUUAUUUCAGGUUCGUAAGCUGCGUGUUGUAAAACCGAUUAAUCAUGGGGCUAAGAUUUUGAGUCUCGGACGUCAAAAUGGGAAUCAGGAUUGGUUUUGGGAUCCGCUUAG
RNAcentral lists this long non-coding RNA (276 nucleotides) under Medicago truncatula (barrel medic). RNAcentral describes it as "long non-coding RNA (MTRU_LNC001197)". Lineage: Eukaryota; Viridiplantae; Streptophyta; Magnoliopsida; Fabales; Fabaceae. The record is from RNAcentral.